RNAcentral lists this ribosomal RNA (253 nucleotides) under uncultured bacterium. RNAcentral's name for it is "partial 16S ribosomal RNA". It matches the Rfam family "Bacterial small subunit ribosomal RNA", at positions 524 to 776 of the family's 1533-position model. The record is from RNAcentral.
UACGGAGGGUGCAAGCAUUGAUCGGAUUUACUGGGCGUAAAGGGCGCGUAGGCGGUUAUGUAAGUCAGAUGUGAAAUUCCGGGGCUCAACCCCGGAGCUGCAUUUGAAACUACAUAGCUUGAGUACAGUUAGGGAAAACAGAAUUCCACGUGUAGCGGUGAAAUGCGUAGAUAUGUGGAAGAAUACCGGUGGUGAAGACGGUUUUCUGGACUGUUACUGACGCUGAGGCGCGAGAGCUAGGGGAGCAAACAGG